This 324-nucleotide unclassified non-coding RNA is filed under the name uncultured fungus. Its description in RNAcentral is "partial contains small subunit ribosomal RNA, internal transcribed spacer 1, and 5.8S ribosomal RNA". The stretch from base 1 to 73 matches the Rfam family "Eukaryotic small subunit ribosomal RNA", at positions 1759 to 1831 of the family's 1831-position model. The record is from RNAcentral. Lineage: Eukaryota; Fungi.
GCAAACUUGGUCAUUUAGAGGAAGUAAAAGUCGUAACAAGGUUUCCGUAGGUGAACCUGCGGAAGGAUCAUUAAUGAAGUUUGAUGAAGAUUUUUAAUCUUCAACUUCUCACCCUUUGUUUAAUUAAAACCUUUUGUUUGCUUCGGCAUGUCAGUCUUGAUUGACGGUCGGUUGUUGAUUUUCCAUCAACUGAUUCGUUACUGCCGAUAGCCAUAUUUUAAACAUUCUUUGAUAUAAAUCAUGUCUGAAAUAUUUUUAUUUUCAAUAAAAAACAAAACUUUCAACAACGGAUCUCUUGGUUCUGGCAUCGAUGAAGAACGCAGC